ACUGCCGGAGUUGGUGACGGCGAACGGGAGGAAAAUAGGAAGGAAAGAUCAAUGCAAACAGCAGACCUGAAGACUGGUGGCGUUGGGCUGUGGAUUGGUUUUAGGACGUUGGCCAUCCGGUGAUCAGAUAUGAAGGUAGCAUCGGAGAGGGGAAAGAGAAUAGCAGCGCGGGGAAGGGAGAAAAGGGAGCGGCACCGGUGGCAAUGGUUGGCAUCGGCGAGGAAAGGGGAAAGGGAAGAAGAGGUGACGCCGGUUAGAUCUGGUAACGGAUAGUCGCCGGUUCUGCGACUGUGUUAGUGUUGUGAGGAUGGGGUCGGUCGGAGAAUGGCGCCAGAGAGGGGAGAUGGAGGGAUGGCGCCGACAGUUUCUCCUAUUCACCGGCGAUUCCAGCGAUG
This 395-nucleotide long non-coding RNA is filed under the name Capsicum annuum. RNAcentral describes it as "long non-coding RNA (CANN_LNC015171)". The record is from RNAcentral. Lineage: Eukaryota; Viridiplantae; Streptophyta; Magnoliopsida; Solanales; Solanaceae.